CGAUAAAACAGUUGGCCGUUUACCGGUUGUAUCAAACUGAGAUUAUUUUUGAUUCAGGGCCGUUCUAAGGAAUCCGACCAACUUUAUUGACGUCUAUGCGGGGCCCGUAAGCACUUGUGACCGUGUCGUUUGAGUUCUUACGAAUUUUUUGUUUUUUCUAGUUUUUCUGUAAAGAACAUUUUAAAUUAAGCAGUUUCAUGAAAAAAAUUCCUGGAUGGUCCAUUAAUGAACCCCAAAAAAAAACUCACAAAUUGUGAGGAUAGUCCCAUUUUGAUGCUAAAUUCCGAGCGGUGUUGCCAAACUGCGUAAAACGUUCUAAGUUGACGAAAAUUGUUUGCUUGGACCAUACUAACACAAACAAACUAACUCAAAAUUAAGCGAAAGGCAAAUAGCGCAUACUACGCGGCAACGCCGCAUUCUGCUGAUAAAUAAUCCGCCAUAUCGACGCGUUAUAUAAUCCCAAUCAAUGGACGACGUUAGAAAAGAUGCUCAAACUUUUGCGAAAAACCCAAUUAUGAUGCAACUUAGCGACAAUUUUGCAUGUGGAAUUAUGGAUUGUUGAUACUUAAAGCACGAUUAAGUAACAGACAGCAUCAGAUAAUCUCAUUUUCUUUCAUAAUAGGUGGCUUUGGAAAAGCGAAUUUCCAAAGUUUCUAAGUGUUUUUUGGCUUGAUUUAUGGGUCAUCCAGGAAUUUCUUUCUAAAAUAAAAUCUAUAAUUUGAAGUGUUCUUUAAGCAAAAAAAGGAAAUGCUAAAACUUCGGAGGGACUCAAACGACAGAUCUCAGAUCUAAAAGGCGUUUUUGAAAUUUGCCCAUGUAAGAAAAACGCAUUUUCUGGUGAACAUUUUUUGCUGGAUCGUGAGGUACGGUGUUGGAUCGUAACAAUUUAUUCCACGACACGCAACAAUGUCGUCGAUUGAGGUUCCUGGGGCGGACUUCAUCCACAUUCUCACAGGUAGCAGCACCAACCAGAAUUAACCAACAUCUCAUCCCAAACGAAGAACUCUUGCCAUAGAAUGCCUUGUGUGGGUAUGCGACAGAAAGCUACCUGAAGAAGCUUCAGGCUAGGGAUGCCACAUUCUGUCUGCUGGACUGUUCCAAGCAUCUGUGAUUUUUAGGCAGAUGUUAUUUUGGCCCAUGAUAAAUAUUGGCUUGUACCUGAAACCGGGCUGAAGUGUAUUUUGAGUCCAGUCAGAUUACACUUUAAAAGGCUUGUUUCGGGCACUGAAUAUAUGAUGGUAAAAGAUUAUUGGAAGUUGUUCGGAAGGAUGUCAGAAUAUUGAGACUAUAGUUUGUGCUCGAUUUCCUGCUGUGGAACAUUGUUUAUAAACAAUUAUUUAUAAAUAAUUAAAGAAAGUGCGAAA
Long non-coding RNA from Dendroctonus ponderosae (mountain pine beetle), 1364 nucleotides. RefSeq lists it as uncharacterized. The transcript is spliced from 2 exons. The record is from RefSeq and is a predicted model, not a curated record. NCBI's taxonomy places the organism in Eukaryota, Metazoa, Arthropoda, Insecta, Coleoptera, Curculionidae.